UGGUUAGAAAAACGGAUUGUGAUGGAGAAGAAUGGAGUGGAGGGAGAAAGAGGCUGGGGUGCAAGAAGGAAGCAGCAGAAUGGACAUGAAGAAUUGCAAAGGUAAGCGACACAAGAGGAAAUGAUGAAUGAACAACAAGCUACCAACUGACAAUUCUUCACUUAAAGGAAGCUUGGAAUGUCCCAAGAAGUAUUGAGGCACAUACAUACAUGAGGAUCACACACCCCUUGUUUCCCAGAGUUCCCUCGGCAAGGGUCAGAGGCAACUGGUUGGCCGCUGUGGGAAAGGCUUCGAUAGGCCUUUGGUAUGAUCCAGCAGGACUCUUCUUAUGUUCUAAUGUGUGAAUCACCAAAUAUCAUUUUUCAUGAAUCCCUGACGUUACCUUUCAUCCCUGGUGUCACCUUCAAAGGAUUAAGUUCAGUACUGUGAGUCCAAACUGCAUCUCUUCCCACUAAGUCUGAGCUCUCCAAUGAACGCCCACACAAGGCACCCACUUGACAUGCUGCCUAUGUCUGGGAAGCGAAGUCUUCUAUUUGAUUAAACAAUGGUGGAAUUGUCUUCUCCGUUGUGCUAAUUCUGGUUUCGCAUGCAACGUGAAGAAUCCAGCACAAUGAACACACCAGAAUUGCGUUGCUUUUUCUUGCUUUGUCUCUUUUUCCCACCUUCUUUUUAACUUAAAUGAAGCAGGAACAGAGCUUAACCAUCUCCAUAGAGCAGCAGCUGGCAACUUGGAGCCGGCGGCUAAAUUCAGCCCCCCAAAAGCUGCGAGUUCACCCACCAAGUUAGGAAAAUCCUAAUCCUCCACCUACUCCAGACCUUCAUCUUCCCCAUCAACAUUUUGGGAUUGAAACCUGGAGCUUCUGUUUGGCUCAGUGCCACCUCUUUCAGCCAUAGUGAUGACUCAGCCCUGUUGCCAGGGUGGGGCAAAUGGGUUCACCACCUCCCCGAGCUAUGAUUCACCCCCUGCCCCAGGAUUUUUUGGGAAAACUGUCUUUUGAAUUUGUGACGUGUCAUAUGAUGACAGCCUCCAUUUACAGAAUGACAGCUUGUUUUAAAAGCAGCACAGGAGCCUCUGAAAAAUUAGUGAAUAAGGCAGGGCAAGUGCACUUUCCCUGACUGAGGGUGAAUUUUUUGUGAUACACCCUAUAGUUACUUAAAUGAUCCUGAAAAAAACAGCCUGUAUUAGAACUUUGUAUUAUGGACUAGAGUUAGACUCCACCCCUUGGACUUUCCUUUGCUCUGCUUUUCAGUUUCAGUUGUGUUCUCUUCCCAGCCAGCAAUAAAAGAGCAUGUUUGUAUGCCUGCUGUAAGAAGUAAGAGUUUGUUUAUU
This is a long non-coding RNA of Rhineura floridana, 1330 nucleotides long. RefSeq lists it as uncharacterized. Lineage: Eukaryota; Metazoa; Chordata; Lepidosauria; Squamata; Rhineuridae. The transcript is spliced from 5 exons. The record is from RefSeq and is a predicted model, not a curated record.